UGUAUUCUUUGUGAUGUCCUUCUUUGUAUUGUGCUAUCUGUUCUUCUACUUGACAAAGGCUUAUAAACCUUAAUUGAGCACACGAGCCUGCAAAUGUAUGUUGUACCAAUAAAACAAUAAAUCGCAAUGCAACAUUCCCAUGCUCUAGAUAUGGAACCGAUCUUCUCCCCAAAUGGCGUAUUUGAGUGUUCCGAUCCCGAAUUCAUUCAUAAGCACUGAUCUUUAGUGGCCACAAACCUGCGACUUCUUUACUGGAAACCACAGUUGUUAUUAGAUCCUCUAUGAAGUUGGUUUUACCUGAAUAAUAGGCUAGUAAGCGUAUAAUUGAACAGAACCAACGAGUUGUAAUCUCGAAAGUGAAGUUCUUUAGUGACUUCAGGGCGUGAACCUGCUACUUUCUUUGUCGUAGACCAAGACCAUUAACCUCUCGUCUCUUCCGGCAUGCGGUUAUUUUGAAAUGGUCAAAACUUGGCAACUAAGACCUGAACUUUCGAAAUAUUUUCAACUUUUCUUAUUUUUAAAACUUUUUUAUACGCUUUGAAAUGCGUUUAAUGUACUAAUCUUUAACUUUAGAAAAAAAGUUCGAAGUAUUUUAUCUUCACUUUUUAAUUUUUAGCUCCUUGUUUAGAAUGGAUUGUUUAUUAAGUGAAAACAUAUGGUUGAACUUAGACUCUAGAAUAAACAAAUACAUAUUUGCACCAUACUUUUAUUCAGUUUUCACGUUUGCUUUGCACCACAUCAUAACUCUUCAAGAAGCAACCCUUGCAACAGCCUCUUUCGUAGUCUACGACAUCCUGUAGAAUAGAGAUCCAUCCUGCACAUCACUUACAGUAAUGCUGGCAUCCUUCUGUAUGUUUCUCCAGUACAAUUCUAAAGGUCAGGAUGACAUCUUGAGACAUUUUCUUGUUCUAUUCUUCAUGAUGUACGUAAAGGGAUUCAUGGAAUGCGUCCUCUGUAUUAGCAUUAUUGCAUCGUACAUUGCAGCGACGCGAGAUUUCAUGCAUCUUUGUUGGCAUUGUGUUCAUGAACUAUUCGAGUUUGCUGUUCGGCGCCUUUUAUUGUGUCACCUAAAAGUGUAUAAUGACUUGAGAUUUGUUUUAAAUUUUUAGACUAUUCUUUUUAAAAAGAUAUAUUUAUUCGUACCGUGCAUUUAAAUUGCUUGAAACAAAUAGUUAAUUUUGUACUAUUAAAGAGAUUUAUAUGUUUGC
Molecule: long non-coding RNA, 1208 nt
Organism: Parasteatoda tepidariorum (common house spider)
Lineage: Eukaryota; Metazoa; Arthropoda; Arachnida; Araneae; Theridiidae
Source: RefSeq, a predicted model, not a curated record